GAUUAUGGCUCAGGAUGAACGCUGGCGGCGUGCUUAACAUGCAAGUCGAACGGGUUUUAGCGAGAGCUUGCUUUUGCUAAAACUAGUGGCGGACGGGUGAGUAACGCGUGAGUAACCUGCCUUAGACGUGGGGGAUAACACUUAGAAAUAGGUGCUAAUACCGCAUAAGCGCACAGUGCCGCAUGGCACAGUGUAGAAAAACUCCGGUGGUCUAAAGAUGGACUCGCGUCUGAUUAGCUAGUUGGUGAGGUAACGGCCCACCAAGGCGACGAUCAGUAGCCGGCCUGAGGAGGGUGAACGGCCACAGUUGGGACUGAGACACCGGCCCAGACUCCGUACGGGAGGCAGCAGGUGGGGAAUAUUGCACAAUGGGGGAAACCCUGAUGCAGCGAACCGCCGCGUGAAGGAAGAAGUAUCUCGGUAUGUAAACUUCUAUCAGCAGGGAAGAUGAUGACGGUACCUGACUAAGAAGCCCCGGCUAACUACGUGCCAGCAGCAGC
RNAcentral lists this ribosomal RNA (500 nucleotides) under uncultured bacterium. Its description in RNAcentral is "bacterial SSU rRNA". It matches the Rfam family "Bacterial small subunit ribosomal RNA", at positions 15 to 518 of the family's 1533-position model. The record is from RNAcentral.